Molecule: ribosomal RNA, 327 nt
Filed under: uncultured eukaryote
Lineage: Eukaryota
Description: partial 18S ribosomal RNA
Rfam family: Eukaryotic small subunit ribosomal RNA
Source: RNAcentral
CCCUUAGAUGUUCUGGGCCGCACGCGCGGUACACUGACGAAUGCAACGAGCUUAUAACCUUGGCCGAAAGGUCUGGGUAAUCUCCAAAUUUCGUCGUGAUGGGGAUAGAUUAUUGCAAUUAUUAAUCUUCAACGAGGAAUGCCUAGUAAGCGCAAGUCAUCAGCUUGCGUUGAUUACGUCCCUGCCCUUUGUACACACCGCCCGUCGCUCCUACCGAUUGAAUGGUCCGGUGAAGCGUUCGGACCGUGGCCUUUGGACGGUUCGCCGUCUGUUGGCUGCGGGAAGUUCGUUAAACCUUAUCAUUUAGAGGAAGGAGAAGUCGUAACA